This 223-nucleotide ribosomal RNA is filed under the name Enterobacter ludwigii. RNAcentral's name for it is "partial 23S ribosomal RNA". It matches the Rfam family "Bacterial large subunit ribosomal RNA", at positions 2118 to 2340 of the family's 2925-position model. Lineage: Bacteria; Pseudomonadati; Pseudomonadota; Gammaproteobacteria; Enterobacterales; Enterobacteriaceae. The record is from RNAcentral.
UGAACACUGGUCCUUGAUGUGUAGGAUAGGUGGGAGGCUUUGAAGCGUGGACGCCAGUCUGCGUGGAGCCAACCUUGAAAUACCACCCUUUAAUGGCUGGUGUUCUAACGUGGACCCGUAAUCCGGGUUGCGGACAGUGUCUGGUGGGUAGUUUGACUGGGGCGGUCUCCUCCCAAAGAGUAACGGAGGAGCACGAAGGUUAGCUAAUCCUGGUCGGACAUCA